GAUAAACUGAAAUAUGAAAGACUCAUGAAUUGACUCCAAAAGAGGAAUCUGGGUUCAACUAAAGUACUGUGAUAUUGUGGGCAGCUCUGGAGUAUUAGUGACCCCUCCAACUGAACUUUUCUACUUCUGUGUCACUCAGCUAUUGACUAUGGAACACUCUGAUAGGGCGACAACUUCCUAAGAAUCCAGCAUUCUUGUUUGGAAGAUGAUUGGAUUAUGAAGGUGGUAUAGUGGAUUUACUGCGAAGACCUGGGGUCUAAUCAGAAGAGACGGUCACUGAGAUAAGACCGGAAGGUACAUCUCCCUUCCUGGUUCCUCCUUCCUCUCUGCAUCCUGGUGGCCCGGCUGUGAGUAGCUUUCCUCUGCAGUGCUGUUCUGUCCUGGGGCCACAGACCAUGAACUAUGCAGUUUUCACACCUAUUAUUGUAUCCUGUGUGCUAUGGAAAACCAGCAGGAUGGCAUGCUGAGGCUUUCCAUCACAAAGAGCAAUUAAAAUACUGCAGUCAGGUACAAGAAGGGGUGAGUUCAGAGGAUGAAGACUGACUGCUGAAGGCUGAAGGAUCCUGUCAAGACAACAACCAUGAUGCUGGCUUACUAAAAACUGGCCAGAGACUCACUAUAGGAAUAGAAGAAUCCCCCAACGCACAGUUAAUCAAAUGACAGCUGGUAUAUGGCACUAUGUCAAUAGCCCUAUCUACAAAGUGAACUGGAGUACUAUAUUUAAAUGAUCUUUAUUGGCUCAUUCAUUAUUUGGAUGGUCCCGUGUUUACCAUGUCUUCCCAGAUAGCCAAGAAAAUACUGUAAGAAAUGGAAUGAGGCUCAGCAAAAUUGUAGUUCAUUAUUCUAGUCUACCAGACUUAGCAGAGUUCUGAGUUGCUCUAAAAAGCAUGUACUUUUUGUUUAGCUGUGGUUCAAAUGCUCAAAAACAAGGAAGACAAAAUUGGAAGGCACUGGAGAAUCAUGGGAAUAGUAGGUGGAAGAAGAGCAGAGUAUAUGGCUUAUGGCUGGAUACUUGAUAUACUGUUUUCUUUCUCUUUGGUUUGCAGAAGGAACUUUGUUAUAAACAAGUGUAUCAGAAUACAUAGUAACCCACUUGGACUGUAAUUGGUAUGUGUUAUUGAAUUUGAGCAUUUUUUGCUACAGUAAAAAGAGCAAAAUUGUCUUUUGUUCGUGCCUUCUGCUUUCCUUCUUUUUCUUUUCUGUCUUCUUCCCCUUCUAUUCUAACCAUUUUGCUUUUAAAAAGAAUUCUUUGAGCUGUGCUACCUAAUGUGCUUAGUCCAGAGCAAAACACAGUCAGACCUCAGUUUUGUGUGUAGAACUGUACGGAGAGGGGAUUCAGCCAAAAGUUAGAAUGGGCUACAAUGUGCCACAGAGUGGGAGCCUCUCAUUUACUACACAAUAGGAAAUCGUUCAAAAUUUUAUCUAUGUGUUAUUAUAUUAGAUCAGAUUUUAUAAUUUUCAUCCUUGGAAGAAACUUAGAAUUAUGUAAUUGAUGCUGCUUUAGCUUACAGAGCACUUUGUCGUAUUUACUAAUAACAAGUGCCGUAUGUAAUGUGACAAGGGCAUUCCUUCCUGCUUCCGGAUUACCCUCAUGUCCGCGCAUCCCGCAUCCUGAAGCUCUCCUUGGAGUUGUUAACCAUGGUAGAGUUAUAAAAGACUAUAGCAAGUAGACUUUGCUGUCAGUGAUUUACUAACAAAUCAUUUUAAAUUUUAUUGCAAUGUUAGAAGGAAUUGUUGCUGAGGGUAUAAUUAGCUGAUUGGAUACUCUUUGAGGUUACAGAGAAUCAAAAGUUUGAUGGAAAAGGCACGAACUUUGCAGCCAACUGGAUCACAUUCUGAAUUUUCUGUGGGACCCUGAACAAGCCUAUGUUACCUGAAUGUCAGGGGUUGUUUUUUCUUUAAGUGUAAAGUUGAGGGACAUUGUGGUGAUUAAAUGAAACAAACUUUGUAAAGCAAUUAGUUGUGACAAAGGUGGUGUUUUGUUUGUGAUAAUGAGCUGGUGGCAAUGACAAUGAUCCUGGGAUUAUGGUGACCACGAUGAUGGUAAGCACUGCAGUCUGGCUUCUGAGGGACAGAACGGGAUCAGUGAUUAAAAUCACAAAACCAGGAGCUACAGUAGUUGAGUUCAAAUCCUUUCUCUUUUACUCACUAAAUGUAUGGUCUUGAGCAAGGACAUAGUUAUCUUUGUUUCUAGCAAGAUACUCCAACAUUAAGUUCCCUGUCUCCCCCAAAUGAGACUUAGCUGGAAAUAAUCAAUCUUAAAAACUGCCGGUCCUAAUCAGCCUAUC
This is a long non-coding RNA of Cavia porcellus (domestic guinea pig), 2288 nucleotides long. RefSeq lists it as uncharacterized. The record is from RefSeq and is a predicted model, not a curated record. The transcript has 4 exons. NCBI's taxonomy places the organism in Eukaryota, Metazoa, Chordata, Mammalia, Rodentia, Caviidae.